CCUACGGGUGGCAGCAGUAGGGAAUAUUGCUCAAUGGGGGAAACCCUGAAGCAGCAACGCCGCGUGGAGGAUGAAGGUUUUCGGAUUGUAAACUCCUUUUGUUAGAGAAGAUAAUGACGGUAUCUAACGAAUAAGCACCGGCUAACUCCGUGCCAGCAGCCGCGGUAAUACGGAGGGCGCAAGCGUUACUCGGAAUCACUGGGCGUAAAGAGCGCGUAGGCGGGAUAGCAAGUCAGAUGUGAAAUCCUAUGGCUUAACCAUAGAACUGCAUUUGAUACUGGUAUUCUAGAGUAUGGGAGAGGUGGGUAGAAUUCUUGGUGUAGCGGUAAAAGGCGUAGAGAUCAAGAGGAAUACUCGUGGCGAAGGCGACCUGCUGGAACAUAACUGACGCUGAUGCGCGAAAGCGUGGGGAGCAAACAGGAUUAGAUACCCUGGUAGUC
RNAcentral lists this ribosomal RNA (440 nucleotides) under uncultured bacterium. Its description in RNAcentral is "partial 16S ribosomal RNA". It matches the Rfam family "Bacterial small subunit ribosomal RNA", at positions 338 to 795 of the family's 1533-position model. The record is from RNAcentral.